Oncorhynchus gorbuscha (pink salmon) is the source of this 841-nucleotide long non-coding RNA. RefSeq lists it as uncharacterized. Lineage: Eukaryota; Metazoa; Chordata; Actinopteri; Salmoniformes; Salmonidae. The transcript is spliced from 3 exons. The record is from RefSeq and is a predicted model, not a curated record.
AUCUCUCCAUCUUUCUCCCACAGUUACAGGCUCUGGCAGGUUAUAAAGUGAGAGGAGGGCCCUGGUGCAUAAGCAGUCUCUUUUUAUAUCUCUCCAUCUUUCUCCCACAGUUACAGGCUCUGGCAGGUUAUAAAGUGAGAGGAGGGCCCCGGUGCAUAAGCAGUCUCUUUUUAUAUCUCUCCAUCUUUCUCCCACAGUUACAGGCUCUGGCAGGUUAUAAAGUGAGAGGAGGGCCCUGGUGCAUAAGCAGUCUCUUUUUAUAUCUCUCCAUCUUUCUCCCACAGUUACAGGCUCUGGCAGGUUAUAAAGUGAGAGCCCCAAUACCCAGAUAGCUACUCUCUCUUUCUUGGUCACGUUGCUCUCUCCCACAAGGCACCAUGCUAUAAAGACUGUCAAAGAGAGGAAUGUACAUCACAGGAGGUUGGUGGCACCUUAAUUGGGGAGGAUGGGCUCGUGGUAAUGGCUGUGUUUCCAGGUGUUUGAUGCCGUUCCAUUUGCUCCAUCCCGGCCAUUACCCUGAGCUGUCCUCCCCUCACCAGCCUCCUGUGGUGUACAGAUCCUGCUUCAUGACACUACCUGUAUCUGUAACAUGUCUUUAGAGGGUGUCGUAUUGCCAUGUCUCUAGCUUACAAUGGGCCUGGCUAACCAGAGACCUCGUUUCUCUGGCUAUGAAGAUGGCACAAUAAAUAUGAAAAUGAUUCACCGUUUGCUUCUGAGUCACUUGUUUUUUUCUUUCUUUGUUUAUUAGUCACAUGAUUCACAGGGUACAGUGAAAUUCUUAAGCUCCAACAGUGCAGGUCAAGAGGAGUAGCCUAUAUUGAAUGCCUUUUCCCUACAUGGU